This 465-nucleotide ribosomal RNA is filed under the name Vreelandella stevensii. RNAcentral describes it as "partial 16S ribosomal RNA". It matches the Rfam family "Bacterial small subunit ribosomal RNA", at positions 338 to 795 of the family's 1533-position model. The record is from RNAcentral. Lineage: Bacteria; Pseudomonadati; Pseudomonadota; Gammaproteobacteria; Oceanospirillales; Halomonadaceae.
CCUACGGGAGGCUGCAGUGGGGAAUAUUGGACAAUGGGCGAAAGCCUGAUCCAGCCAUGCCGCGUGUGUGAAGAAGGCCUUCGGGUUGUAAAGCACUUUCAGUGGGGAAGAAAGCCUUGGGGCUAAUACCCUCGAGGAAGGACAUCACCCACAGAAGAAGCACCGGCUAACUCCGUGCCAGCAGCCGCGGUAAUACGGAGGGUGCGAGCGUUUAUCGGAAUUACUGGGCGUAAAGCGCGCGUAGGCGGUCUGAUAAGCCGGUUGUGAAAGCCCCGGGCUCAACCUGGGAACGGCAUCCGGAACUGUCAGGCUAGAGUGCAGGAGAGGAAGGUAGAAUUCCCGGUGUAGCGGUGAAAUGCGUAGAGAUCGGGAGGAAUACCAGUGGCGAAGGCGGCCUUCUGGACUGACACUGACGCUGAGGUGCGAAAGCGUGGGUAGCAAACAGGAUUAGAUACCCCUGUAGUC